UACGAAGGGUGCAACCGUUGCUCGGAAUCAUUGGGCGUAAAGCGCACGUAGGCGGCUUUGCAAGUCUGACGUGAAAUCCCUCAGCUCAACUGAGGAAGUGCAUCGGAAACUGCAAGGCUUGAGUACUGAAGAGGAUCGCGGAAUUCCCGGUGUAGAGGUGAAAUUCGUAGAUAUCGGGAGGAACACCAGUGGCGAAGGCGGCGAUCUGGGCAGAUACUGACGCUGAGGUGCGAAAGCGUGGGGAGCAAACAGG
Molecule: ribosomal RNA, 253 nt
Filed under: uncultured bacterium
Lineage: Bacteria
Description: partial 16S ribosomal RNA
Rfam family: Bacterial small subunit ribosomal RNA
Source: RNAcentral